CUCUGUGACUGGCUUGCUUGAUGGUUAGGGUCUGAUCGCUGCCUGAGACACCAUAUCGGUACUCCUCAGAGUUGGUGAUCACAGGAUCUGGUUUGCCACUGAAAGGAAUCUUGAUGCUGACCACUUCACCUCGGAGAGCAUGAACUGCUCCCAUGCCUUCAAGAGUUUUAGGAUGGCAUCAACUGUUCCAAAAACAUUGCUGAGCUGGACUUUGUAUUUCCCAGCAUGAGUCUUACGUUGGACAUUCUUCAUGACAAGAUGAGUAUAGUGCUCAGUGUUUUCAAUAGUAAUGUUUUCUGAGUUUUGCAAAAGUUUCUGACCAUGGAACCAAGUCAUGGCAGGUACUGGACGACCAAUGUACAUAACAUGAAGCCGAAGUGUGGAACCCACAGCUCCAUAAUAUUUCUCUUUCAGUGGGUAACCAGGAUGGAACUGCGGUGUUGCUUGCAGGAGAAGCUUACUACUGGUUUCUACUUCUCCAACCUCAUUGGUGGCUAUGCAGGCACUGUCUCCAGACUGUCUAUAUUCAACCCAGUAUCCAAGAAUUUCUUUACCACCAUCACAUUCAGGUUUCUCCCACUGUAGAGUGACACUAUCUUUGGAUAUUGAAAGAAUCUCAAGUUCUCCUGGUUGGCUUGGUUUAUCUGAAAUAUUUUAAAAUAAUGAAAAGGGAGUCAGCUUUACUGGUGAAAUAAAAGGACCAAACAUGGCUUGCUUCUUUAA
This 723-nucleotide non-coding RNA is filed under the name Pan troglodytes (chimpanzee). The record is from RNAcentral. RNAcentral also lists the same sequence under 1 other name. Lineage: Eukaryota; Metazoa; Chordata; Mammalia; Primates; Hominidae.